This 253-nucleotide ribosomal RNA is filed under the name uncultured prokaryote. RNAcentral describes it as "partial 16S ribosomal RNA". It matches the Rfam family "Bacterial small subunit ribosomal RNA", at positions 525 to 777 of the family's 1533-position model. The record is from RNAcentral.
ACAGAGGGUGCGAGCGUUAAUCGGAAUUACUGGGCGUAAAGCGUGCGUAGACGGUUAUUUAAGUCGGGUGUGAAAGCCCCGGGCUCAACCUGGGAAUUGCAUUCGAGACUGAAUAGCUAGGGUACGGUAGAGGGAAGUGGAAUUUCCGGUGUAGCGGUGAAAUGCUUAGAUAUCGUCAAGAACACCUAUUGCGAAGGCAGCUUACUAAGCUUUAACUGACACUGAGGCACGAAAGUGUGGGGAUCAAACAGGA